UUAUUAAAGUUACCUAACGGUAAAAGGAAUGAGUAUGCGUCCCACUUAGUCUAGAGUGGUAAGGUAACGGCUUACCAUGGCAAUGAUGGGUAGGGGUCCUGAGAGGGAGAUCCCCCCACACUGGUACUGAGACACGGACCAGACUCCCUACGGGAGGCAGCAGUGAGGAAUAUUGGACAAUGGGCGCAAGCCUGAUCCAGCCAUGCCGCGUGCAGGAAGACGGUCCUAUGGAUUGUAAACUGCUUUUAUACAGGAAGAAACACUCCCUCGUGAGGGAACUUGACGGUACUGUAUGAAUAAGCAUCGGCUAACUCCGUG
This 318-nucleotide ribosomal RNA is filed under the name uncultured bacterium. RNAcentral describes it as "bacterial SSU rRNA". It matches the Rfam family "Bacterial small subunit ribosomal RNA", at positions 198 to 507 of the family's 1533-position model. The record is from RNAcentral.